Molecule: ribosomal RNA, 377 nt
Filed under: uncultured bacterium
Lineage: Bacteria
Description: bacterial SSU rRNA
Rfam family: Bacterial small subunit ribosomal RNA
Source: RNAcentral
AUACGUAGGGAGCGAGCGCUGUCCGGAAUUACUGGGCGUAAAGGGCGCGUAGGUGGGCGUUUAAGUCAGAUGUGAAAACUCCGGGCUCAACCUGGAGGCUGCAUUUGAAACUGGGCGUCUUGAGGGCAGGAGAGGAAAGUGGAAUUCCUAGUGUAGCGGUGAAAUGCGUAGAUAUUAGGAGGAACACCAGUGGCGAAGGCGACUUUCUGGACUGUACCUGACACUGAGGCGCGAAAGCGUGGGGAGCGACCGGGAUUAGAUACCCCGGUAGUCCACGCCGUAAACGAUGGAUACUAGGUGUAGGAGGUAUCGACCCCUUCUGUGCCGCAGUUAACACAAUAAGUAUCCCGCCUGGGGAGUACGGCCGCAAGGUUGAA